UGCAAUCGAAGAUCUGAAGCUGGAUUCUCUAGUAAUGGGAAGCAGAGGACUGAGUACCAUUCGAAGGAUUCUGCUUGGGAGUGUUAGCAACUACGUGAUUACUCAUUCUCCUUGCCCUGUUACAGUCGUCAAGGAUUCAAACUUUCAGCAUCAUUAAGGCGUGAAAUCGGCGAUUACGGGGUUUGGUUCUUUAAUCGAGUGAUCUUUAUUAAGUAUAUGCCUAAACUAAACUCCUGAAAUUCUAGAAAAUCACGUUUGUGUCCUUGAAAACCUUGAUUUCCCUGUUUGGA
RNAcentral lists this unclassified non-coding RNA (290 nucleotides) under Hevea brasiliensis (rubber tree). The record is from RNAcentral. Lineage: Eukaryota; Viridiplantae; Streptophyta; Magnoliopsida; Malpighiales; Euphorbiaceae.